ACAAAUCUAUCCUCAAUGACAUAGUUACAUAAACAUAACUGUUCAAACUUUACAUUACAUUCUUAUCAUAUGUCAUGUCCACAUACUCUAGCUAUUACAUACAUAAGACUUGACUUCACUCUAGCCGACUUCUUGAUCUCUCCUGUACCUGCAACUCUGGGGAUAAUGGGAGUGGGGUGAGCUAAAAGCCCAGUGAGCAGAAACUAAAAACAUUUGUUUUAAUUCCUCCAUUUUUAGGUACAUUAAUAUUCAUUUUUAUUAUUAUUAUCAAAUAACUUUUAUUUUCUUUCUUUUUCUUAUUCAUGCUUUCGUGUAUGCGUCAUAACACAAACAUUCCACAACAAGGAUGAACUUGUCACCAUUUAGCCCCUAUCCUUCUUACUUAUACAUGCCGGGGGCGUAGAGCCGUAGCAGGCACACCCGGACUUCCAUAAUCAGUCAUAGUGCCAGGGGCGUAGAGCCGUAGCAGGCACACCUGGACUCACAUAGGCUAUCAUGACAUACAAGGGCUAAUGGAUCAUUCAACAUUCAUCCACAUCAACAACAAAGUAUGCAAUGCAACAUAUUCGUGAAUUCUAAUGCAAACAACCUACUAUUGCAUGGCAUAAUGAUGCAUGGGCAAUGCUUUAUGAUUCAUUCAUUUAUUCAUUUACUUUAAAGCUUAAGGGGUUGUUCCACUCACCUGGUAACUGAAGCUUGACAACGAACUCUGAACAACUAUCUCACAACCGGGGGUCUCGGUUCCUCGGGUCCGAACCUACACAGGUGGACUCAAAUGAGGCACCAAACAUACAUGAACGUGACUCUGAAAAGCU
RNAcentral lists this long non-coding RNA (815 nucleotides) under Manihot esculenta (cassava). RNAcentral describes it as "long non-coding RNA (MESC_LNC011383)". The record is from RNAcentral. Lineage: Eukaryota; Viridiplantae; Streptophyta; Magnoliopsida; Malpighiales; Euphorbiaceae.